RNAcentral lists this unclassified non-coding RNA (343 nucleotides) under Hevea brasiliensis (rubber tree). Lineage: Eukaryota; Viridiplantae; Streptophyta; Magnoliopsida; Malpighiales; Euphorbiaceae. The record is from RNAcentral.
UUUUCAUCCUUUCCAUGAUUAUAUGCCACAAGAGGGAAGUCAAGUGCUUGAGACUGGACCCCACCAGUAAUUACUUCUUGCUGAUUCAGCACACCUACAGCGAAUUAUUCUCUUUCUUCCAUCAGGGCGCCUGUAUUCUCUUUGUUUCACAGGACUAGAAAUCGAAGCAGAAGUUGUCACUUUAUUUAUGCCAUCACGAGCAGUUCCCUCACCCUUCUUUGCAUCAUCAACUUGCUCAGAAGUCUUUGUUGUCACCCCCAAGUCAACAGAAGAUUUCACAGGCAUCUGAUUUUGCAGAAUAUCUGACACCACUUUUUUGGUUGCUGUUUGCUUGGCUGAAGCU